GACGAACGCUGGCGGCGUGCUUAACACAUGCAAGUCGAACGGAAAGGCCCUGCUUUUGUGGGGUGCUCGAGUGGCGAACGGGUGAGUAACACGUGAGUAACCUGCCCUUGACUUUGGGAUAACUUCAGGAAACUGGGGCUAAUAUCGGAUAGGAGCUCCUGCUGCAUGGUGGGGGUUGGAAAGAUUCGGCGGUUGGGGAUGGACUCGCGGCUUAUCAGCUUGUUGGUGGGGUAGUGGCUUUCCAAGGCUUUGACGGGUAGCCGGCCUGAGAGGGGGACCGGCCACAUUGGGACUGAGAUACGGCCCAGACUGCUACGGGAGGCAGCAGUGGGGAAUAUUGCACAAUGGGCGGAAGCCUGAUGCAGCAACGCCGCGUGCGGGAUGACGGCCUUCGGGUUGUAAACCGCUUUCGCCUGUGACGAAGCGUGAGUGACGGUAAUGGGUAAAGAAGCACCGGCUAACUACGUG
This 468-nucleotide ribosomal RNA is filed under the name uncultured bacterium. Its description in RNAcentral is "partial 16S ribosomal RNA". It matches the Rfam family "Bacterial small subunit ribosomal RNA", at positions 28 to 507 of the family's 1533-position model. The record is from RNAcentral.